GGCGACGUGGCCAAGUGGUAAGGCAAGGCUCUGCAAAAGCCUGAUCACCGGUUCGAGUCCGGUCGUCGCCU
RNAcentral lists this transfer RNA (71 nucleotides) under Chloroflexota bacterium. RNAcentral's name for it is "tRNA-Cys". It matches the Rfam family "tRNA". Rfam says of the family: Transfer RNA (tRNA) molecules are approximately 80 nucleotides in length. The record is from RNAcentral. Lineage: Bacteria; Bacillati; Chloroflexota.